This 99-nucleotide ribosomal RNA is filed under the name uncultured bacterium. Its description in RNAcentral is "partial 16S ribosomal RNA". The record is from RNAcentral.
CCCAGGCCUUGUACACACCGCCCGUCACAUCAUUGAAAGCCGCUUGCACCCGAAGUCGCCCCUCAAAAGGUGCCGAAGGUAUGGGUGGUGAUUGGGAUG